CCCCUAGAUGUUCUGGGCCGCACGCGCGCUACACUGAACAGUUCAACAAGUCUUAACCUUGGCCGAUAGGUCUGGGUAAUCUUUGAACGCUGUUCGUGAUUGGGAUAGACCUUUGCAAUUAUGGGUCUUCAACGAGGAAUUCCUAGUAAACGCAAGUCAUCAGCUUGCAUUGAUUACGUCCCUGCCCUUUGUACACACCGCCCGUCGCUCCUACCGAUUGAAUAUUCCGGUGAGAAGAUAGGAGAAAAAUCUUUUGAUUUUUUGAAUAUUUUUGAACCUUGAUAUUUAGAGGAAGGAGAAGUCGUAACA
RNAcentral lists this ribosomal RNA (309 nucleotides) under uncultured eukaryote. Its description in RNAcentral is "partial 18S ribosomal RNA". It matches the Rfam family "Eukaryotic small subunit ribosomal RNA", at positions 1470 to 1796 of the family's 1831-position model. The record is from RNAcentral.